UACAGAGGUCCCAAGCGUUGUUCGGAUUCACUGGGCGUAAAGGGUGCGUAGGUGGCAAGGUAAGUUUGAUGUGAAAUCUUCGAGCUCAACUCGGAAACUGCAUUGAAUACUAUCUUGCUUGAGGGAUUGGAGGGGAGGCUGGAAUUCUCGGUGUAGCAGUGAAAUGCGUAGAUAUCGAGAGGAACACCAGUGGCGAAGGCGAGUCUCUAGACAACUCCUGACACUGAGGCACGAAAGCUAGGGGAGCAAACAGG
This 254-nucleotide ribosomal RNA is filed under the name uncultured bacterium. RNAcentral describes it as "partial 16S ribosomal RNA". It matches the Rfam family "Bacterial small subunit ribosomal RNA", at positions 524 to 776 of the family's 1533-position model. The record is from RNAcentral.